UCCUGUGAUUUUUUUUCCUGCUUUAUUGCAUAAGAAAAAGAAGAAAAGAAGGCAGCCAGCCUCCUUGUCCUCAGGGAGCACUUCCUCCCCUCUGCAAUGGGAAUGGUUUUUGGACUGGAAUUGCUGCUAUUUGCAAACUCGUUCAGCCCCUGACUUUUCUCGUUGGGUGAGUGCGGCUCUCCCGCACGGAGCAGCGCACACCUGCUGUCUGCCAGCGCUGAGUGACGGCUGCUGAUGGAAUCUAUGUGGGAAAGCCCUUCGCCAUCAAAAGGCUCUGGCUGUGUGGACGGAUGCAGAGUACUGCCCGUUGCCUCUGACCUAGCCAGGCUCGAGCCAGCUCCAGUCUGGGAGUGCACUGCAGUGCGUGCUGGCUGGCCACUGACCCCGAGCUGUCCCGGCCUGGCUGGAACUGCAUCCCCACGUGCCGGGGAGAGCUGCCCUCCAGAAGGCGUCUCUGCUGCUGCUGUGAGAAUGCAAUCCCGGCAAGAGGGGCCCAGCUAAACACAGCACCCUUCAGAUUUGGCCACUCAGUUUUUUCCAUUAGCUUGAUACAUGCUGUUUACAUCCUACUGCCGCCGGUGCCAGAGAUAACUGCCUUGGGAACAGCUCCCUGCAGGUAUUGUUAGCAGCUGCUGGAAACAAAGGCGUUUGUUUUAGCCACGUCACUAUCUAAACAGCCAGAAAUAGAUUGCUUUUUUUAUUGCUAGUAUGCCAAUAAGAAUCUGGUCAAUAAGAAUCUGCCUUCUGGAAAUCUUGCGUGCUGUGAGGGCUGGCAUCUGUGCAAACAGCCCAGCAACAGCAAAGAGCGUGAUGCUGAGGCAAAGAAUGCAUGAAGGGCUCUCGUGGCAACCAAGCAUUUCUCCUCCACGUGUCAUCACCACCAACAUCCGCUGCUUGCACUUGGACAGAAUUGCUUCCAGCCAACACUAUGUGGUUCCUUGCCGCAUAGUUGACUUCUGUCUCUUUCCAGGCUGAAAACUGAGACUGCAGAACACGCGCCGUCUUAGCUAGAAACUUAACUCUGAUUUUAAAACAAAUCAAAAAAUCCAUCCAGCUGCUGAUGCCCUUCCUUUCUGCCCUGAGUCACAGGGAGUGUGGAGGCCGUGCUAUUACACUGAUUCCAGAGGUGGUGAUCAGGUUUGUAGCUGUUGAGCAAGUGCUUGGUUGGUGGCCUAGCCUGGAGGGAAGGGAGAGAGUGGGGCAUUGCAGAGAACACUUGCCCCAUCUGAAGCAGGGAUGCUGGACAGGCUGCCUUUGAACAGUGAUGUGUCUCUUGCUUUUGAUCGUGUCUGAACAAUAGCCCCUUCUUUUCCCUUAUUUCUUCGGGAGGAUGGAGGAUGAGAGACUGAUGCCUCCUCUUGGGCCACGCAGAGGAGAGAGAUGAACUCUACC
This 1392-nucleotide long non-coding RNA is filed under the name Pavo cristatus (Indian peafowl). Its description in RNAcentral is "lncRNA (ENSPSTG00000004661.1)". The record is from RNAcentral. Lineage: Eukaryota; Metazoa; Chordata; Aves; Galliformes; Phasianidae.